This is a long non-coding RNA of Bos taurus (domestic cattle), 2951 nucleotides long. The record is from Ensembl. NCBI's taxonomy places the organism in Eukaryota, Metazoa, Chordata, Mammalia, Artiodactyla, Bovidae.
CCCAUCAAGUGGAAGAAGUUAACUGCUUGCUGACCACAAGCACAUAGACCCCAGCCAGCUUGGAACCAGAAGGUUGAUGAUGUUGACUCCCCAGUUACCUCACCACCAACCAGUCAGAAGAAUGUUCAUGAGCUGAUUAUGUGCCCACAACCCCUCUCCUUUAUCUUGGAAGCCGUUGGGGAGUUUGGGUGUUUUGAGCACUAGCUGCCUGGACUCCUUGCUUGGUGCCUGCAAUAAACACUGCACUUUCACCAAGACCCACUCAGCAAAGACUCACUAUGUUUGAGCCUCAUAACUGGAGGAUAAGGCGACCAAAAAGCAUGCUGCAAAAACAUUUUUACAUUCGCUACCGGGAUUCCCUCAUCCUCACCAGCCUGGGAUUCGUGACUUUGGCUCUGGGAAUUGCUAUCACAAUCGGAGCUUUUAACAACGUGGUUGUCCUCCUUGGGAUGACGCUUGAUUUUCUGGGUGUCCUUCUUGGUAUUUUGGGGGGUAUAAACAUGUACACCACCUACUCGUGCUUCCAGAGCUCCUUAGAAGCACGAGGGGCAGCUGAGAACAUUCACCUCAUGUGGUGUCAGGUUCUACAUCAAGAGCCUGAACUCUUGGCCAGCAUCUGCUUAUAACCUCAUAUUUAAUCUGAAUAUCUCUAGGACUCCAAUUUUGUUUUAUGCAGCAUUUUCAAACUUGAAAUAAAAUUCUGAAAGCUACUGUGAAAGAGAUUUUCAAUGUCCCUUUUUUUUUUUCUCUUAACUUGGCCACACCAACGCACUGGAUUUGCUAUAGAAGUUCAUGACUGUUGACUUCUGAUCUCUGGUGAAAGAAGGGAAUGUUGGAGUACAGGUGAUGACGCUGAACCUUGCCAUAUAGAAGAGAUACCUACACGGACUUCUCUUGUAGAAUCCAGUCUUUCCACUCAUCCACAGAGACUUGUGAAAUCUGUUUUGGGCCCCUGAAUCUCGGCCUCAAACUGCCCAGUUCUCCAGAGAUAGACCUGGAGUUUGUACUAUGAUCUGUUAGGCUCCAGCCUCAGUUCUCAUGUGGAUCCAAUGAUUUGGAAUGGAAAUAUAGUGCCAGUAACCCAUGUUCCUGUCUGAGCUACCAGGGAAGCUUAAGAGGUGGGUGCUAGUUGUAAAGAGCCCGCCUGCCAAUGCGGGAGACAUAGAAGACGUGGGUUCAAUCCCUGGGUGGGGAACAGCAACCCACUCCAGUACUCUUGCCUGGAGAAUCCCAUGGACAGAGAAGCCUGGUGGGCUACAGUCCAGGGGAUCACAAAGAGUUGGACAAGACCAAACCGACUUAGCAUACAACCCAUGUUCCCAGCAUAGCUGUCAGCCAACACCAAUUGUCUUAUUGACUUCUCUCCUUAGUGCUUCAUUCAUAGCUGACUUCAUUCACAGUAUGGCACAUGGGUCCCUGGUUCCCUGACCAGGGAUCGAACUUGCACUCCCUGCACUGGAACCUCAGAGACUUAAUCACCAAACCGCCAGGGAAGUCCCCCCUCUUCCUUUGAACUGGUAUUUCCUCCUAUUGAAACGCUCAUUCUUCAAAACUCGUGCCGUCUCGUGAUAGCACGCCUCCUCCGCCUGGGACUGUCCUCUUAAGGUCCGACACACCGUGUGGCACCUUAUUCCUCAUCCCCCAUCAGCCAUUGACAGCUUCUCCUGUCCUACUGUUUUGCUCUCAUGACUAUUAUUCUUGAGGACAGGGAUGGCCCAUCAGCACAAAAACUGCUUGGUUCUUGUUGGAAUUUAAAAAAAUAACUUUGAUUGCAGGGACUUCCCUGGUGGUCCAGUGGUUAAGAAUCCAUCCUACAGGGGGUGUGGAUUUGAUCGCUGGUUGGGGAACUAAGAUCUCACAUGCCUCUUGGCCAAAAAAACUAAAACAUAAACAACAGAAGCCAUGGUGUAAGAAACUCGAUAAAGACUUUACAAGGGACUUCCCUGGUGAUCCAGGGGUUAGGACUCCUUGCUCCCAAUGUGGGGGGCCUGGGUUUGAUCCCUGGUUAGGAAACUAGGUCCCAUAUGCCACAACCAAGACCCAACAAAGCCAAAUAAAUUACUAUUUUUUUCUAAAAAGACUUCAUAGAUGGUCCACAUUAAAAAAAAUUCUUUUUUUCAUUGUUUAACACAUUUUAUUGAAGUAUAGUUGAUUUAUAAUGUUAAUUUCUAUUCUACAGCAAAGUGACUCAGUUAUACACAUAUAUUCUUUCCCAUUAUAGUUAUCACAGGACUUUUUGAACUUUUUAUUUUAUAUUGGAGUAUAGCUGAUUAACAAAUGUUAUAAGUUUCAGGUGGACAGCAAAGGAAUUCAGCCAUACAUAUAUAUGUAUCCAUUCUCCCCCCAAUUCCCCUCCCAUCCAGGCUGUCACAUAACACUGGGCAGAGUUCCCUGUGCUACACAGUAGGACCUUGUUGGUUAUCCAUUUUAAAUAUAGCAGCAUGUACAUGUCAAUCCCAACUCCCUAUCUGUUCCACCCAUCUUCCCCCUUCCCUCCCCAGCAACCGUAAGUUCCUUCUCUGAGUCUGUGCCUGUUUUGUAAGUAAGUUCAUUUGUAUCAUUUCAUUUUAGAUUCCACACAUAAGCAGUGUCAUAAAAUAUUUCUCCUACUCUUUCUGACUUACUUCGGUCCAUAUGACAAUUUCUAAGCCCAUCUAUGUUGCUGCAAUUGACAUUAUUUCAUUUUUUUAAUAGCUGAGUAAUAUUCUGUUGUAUAUAUGUACCAUAUCUUCUUUACACUCCUAUGUCAAUGGCCAUUUAGGUUUCUUCUAUGUCUUGGUUAUUGUAAACAGCACUGCAAUGAACACUGGGGUGCAUGCAUCUGCAUCCUUUUGGAUCAUGUUUUUCUCCAGAUAUAUGCCCAGGAGUGGGAUUGCAGGAUCAUAUAGUAGCUCUAUUUUUAGUUUUUUAAGGAAUCUCCAUACUGUUCUCCAUAGUGUCAGCACUAAUUU